GAGGCGUAUUAACUAGUUCGUGAGGUUAUGGCUCACCAAGGCAACGAUGCGUAACCGACCUGAGAGGGUGAUCGGCCACACUGGGACUGAGACACGGCCCAGACUCCUACGGGAGGCAGCAGUAGGGAAUCUUCCGCAAUGGACGAAAGUCUGACGGAGCAACGCCGCGUGAGUGAUGAAGGUUUUCGGAUCGUAAAGCUCUGUUGUUAGGGAAAAACAUGUACCGUUCGAAUAGGGCGGUACCUUGACGGUACCUAACCAGAAAGCCACGGCUAACUACGUGCCAGCAGCCGCGGUAAUACGUAGGUGGCAAGCUUUGYCCGGAAUUAUUGGGCGUAAAGGGCUCGCAGGCGGUUUCUUAAAUUCUGAUGUGAAAAGCCCCCGGCUCCAACCGGGGGAGGGUCAUUGGAAACUGGGGGAACUUGAGUGCAGAAGAGGAGAGUGGAAUUCCACGUGUAGCGGUGAAAUGCGUAGAGAUGUGGAGGAACACCAGUGGGCGAAGGCGACUCUUUGGUCUGUAACUGACGCUGAGGAGCGAAAGCGUGGGGAGCGUACAGGAUUAGAUACCCUGGUAGUCCCACGCCCGUAAACGAUGAGUGCUAAGUGUUAAGGGGUUUUCCGCCCCUUUAGUGCUGCAGCUAACGCAUUAAGCACUCCGCCUGGGGAGUACGGUCGCAAGACUGAAACUCAAAGGAAWUGACGGGGGCCCGGCACAAGCGGUGGAASAUGGGGUUUAAUUUCGAAGCAACGCGAAGAACCUUACCAGGUCUUGACAUCCUCUGACAAUCCUAGAGAUAGGACGUUCCCUUCGCGGGGCAGAGUGACAGGUGGUGCAUGGUUGUCGUCAGCUCGUGUCGUGAGAUGUUGGGUUAAGUCCCGCAACGAGCCCAACCCUUGAUCUUAGUUGCCAGCAUUCAGUUGGGCACUCUAAGGUGACUGCCGGUGACAAACCGGAGGAAGGUGGGGAUGACGUCAAAUCAUCAUGCCCCUUAUGACCUGGGCUACACACCUGUUACAAUUGACAGAACAAAGGGCAGCGAAUCCCCGGGGUUAAGAAAAUUUCACAAAUCUGUCCCCAGGGUUGAUCCCAGUCUCCAAUAGGUCUUACAAGGCA
This 1114-nucleotide ribosomal RNA is filed under the name Bacillus halotolerans. Its description in RNAcentral is "bacterial SSU rRNA". It matches the Rfam family "Bacterial small subunit ribosomal RNA", at positions 233 to 1328 of the family's 1533-position model. Lineage: Bacteria; Bacillati; Bacillota; Bacilli; Caryophanales; Bacillaceae. The record is from RNAcentral.